This 115-nucleotide ribosomal RNA is filed under the name Pteropus alecto (black flying fox). Lineage: Eukaryota; Metazoa; Chordata; Mammalia; Chiroptera; Pteropodidae. The record is from RNAcentral.
GCCUAUGGCCAUGCCACCCUGAAAAAGCCUAAUGUCUGAUCUUGGAAGCUAAGCAGGGUCGAGCCUGCUAGUACUUGGAUGGGAGACCGCCCAGGAAGACCAGGUGCUAUAGGCA